Molecule: long non-coding RNA, 1174 nt
Organism: Xiphias gladius (swordfish)
Lineage: Eukaryota; Metazoa; Chordata; Actinopteri; Istiophoriformes; Xiphiidae
Exons: 5
Source: RefSeq, a predicted model, not a curated record
UUAACGCAAAAAUAAUUCCUUCUAAGGCUGAGACACUGUGGUGAAGGAAACAGUCUGGUACUUCAUUGGAAAUACGUGACAAGUUAGAAGUGGUCCCACAGAGAAAAAUAACAAACAAACAAACAAACGAAAAAAACAUUAGAUCAAAUUUCCCCAAAAAUCUACGAGGAGAGCAUAGGAGAAACAUCGGUUUCAUCGACACGACCAACACCUGAUACCAAAAGCCUAUGGGGACGUUAGCAGGCCGCUAACACCAAACAGCUAGCUUUGCUAACUACCACGAUUAAGCUGGGACCAUUGAUAAAUUGGUCGCUUUGGUUCCGAGAAACCCUGAUUUCCUUGGACAAGGAAAAAAGAGGGUUACCGUGUUUCCCAGAGUCGGGGAUCUACAGCAACGUUUGGAUGCAAAGUUCGCUAAUCCCUAAAACUGGAGGACCACGACUGGCAGAGGAAAGGCGCACUUUUGCGGGAAUGACGACAGAGAAAAUUAAGGAGCGCAACAAUACAGUUAUUGCACUGCGCCAAUGGACCAUUGCGCCAGUGCAGAUAAAAACGCAUGUCGAAGAAACUAAGAAAGACUGACAAAGAACCGAAGAAUUCAUGUGACCAGUGUCAGGGAGUAAUUUUCCCCCUAAAACAGUGUGUAUACACAGCACCAGCAGAUGAGGCGAAAUGCAGUUCUUCAAAAUCGGAGAUCUUGUAUAAGAAAUGCCGGGAAAAAAAGCGGAGGUUUCACACUUUUCUCUGCGUACUGCUGGGCCCCACUCCGGAUCAGGUCUUUUGCCACUGACUUUGAUGUCUUAAGGAGGUCAAGGAUCCUUAGGACGUGUGCUGUGCAGAUCGUUCUUGAACCCAAACCUCUGUGAUCAGCCGCCCACUGGGAACACUGAUGUGAGGCGUCUGGCGAGAGCCUUUCCCUUGGCCCCGAACAGGACUUAAAAGGACACAACUGCCCUGGUGUGCACUCUGUUUCGGUCCUGACUACACAGCAGCCACAGAGGGAAGGUUCCCACUGGGAGAAUGAGCACUGGAAGCACAUCUGUCCGUGGAGUCAGACGGGUGGGAUGGGAUCUGCUGCUGUGGCUCACAUGGGAAACAUGUCAAUGAAUCCACUAAAUGCACCUCUAAUUCUCAUCUUCAGGAUUGGGUGUGAUGUGAAACUAGACAAGUAAAA